GCGGAUGACGGGAGCUUGCUCCUUGAUUCAGCGGCGGACGGGUGAGUAAUGCCUAGGAAUCUGCCUGGUAGUGGGGGACAACGUUUCGAAAGGAACGCUAAUACCGCAUACGUCCUACGGGAGAAAGCAGGGGACCUUCGGGCCUUGCGCUAUCAGAUGAGCCUAGGUCGGAUUAGCUUGUUGGUGAGGUAAUGGCUCACCAAGGCGACGAUCCGUAACUGGUCUGAGAGGAUGAUCAGUCACACUGGAACUGAGACACGGUCCAGACUCCUACGGGAGGCAGCAGUGGGGAAUAUUGGACAAUGGGCGAAAGCCUGAUCCAGCCAUGCCGCGUGUGUGAAGAAGGUCUUCGGAUUGUAAAGCACUUUAAGUUGGGAGGAAGGGUUGUAGAUUAAUACUCUGCAAUUUUGACGUUACCGACAGAAUAAGCACCGGCUAACUCUGUGCCAGCAGCCGCGGUAAUACAGAGGGUGCAAGCGUUAAUCGGAAUUACUGGGCGUAAAGCGCGCGUAGGUGGUUUGUUAAGUUGGAUGUGAAAGCCCCGGGCUCAACCUGGGAACUGCAUCCAAAACUGGCAAGCUAGAGUACGGUAGAGGGUGGUGGAAUUUCCUGUGUAGCGGUGAAAUGCGUAGAUAUAGGAAGGAACACCAGUGGCGAAGGCGACCACCUGGACUGAUACUGACACUGAGGUGCGAAAGCGUGGGGAGCAAACAGGAUUAGAUACCCUGGUAGUCCACGCCGUAAACGAUGUCAACUAGCCGUUGGAAUCCUUGAGAUUUUAGUGGCGCAGCUAACGCAUUAAGUUGACCGCCUGGGGAGUACGGCCGCAAGGUUAAAACUCAAAUGAAUUGACGGGGGCCCGCA
Molecule: ribosomal RNA, 864 nt
Filed under: Pseudomonas putida
Lineage: Bacteria; Pseudomonadati; Pseudomonadota; Gammaproteobacteria; Pseudomonadales; Pseudomonadaceae
Description: bacterial SSU rRNA
Rfam family: Bacterial small subunit ribosomal RNA
Source: RNAcentral